GCAGGUUCUAGUAUUGGAUGGCCGGGGCCAUCUUCUGGGCCGCCUGGCGGCCAUUGUGGCCAAGCAGGGUACUGCUGGGCCGGAAGGUAGUGGUUGUACGCUGUGAGGGCAUCAACAUUUCUGGAAAUUUCAACAGAAACAAGUUAAAGUAUCUGGCCUUUCUCCGAAAGCGUCACCAACCCGUCUCGAGGCCCCUACCACUUCCGAGCCCCAAGCCACAUUUUUUGGCGCACUGUGCGAGGCAUGCUACCCCGCAAGACCAAGAGAGGCCAGGCUGCCCUGGAACGCCUCAAGGUGUUGGACGGGAUCCUUCCACUCUAUGACAAGAAAAAGCGGAUGGUGGUCCCUGCUGCCCUCAAGGUUGUGCGGCUGAA
RNAcentral lists this long non-coding RNA (374 nucleotides) under Rattus norvegicus (Norway rat). RNAcentral describes it as "long non-coding RNA NONRATT011794". Lineage: Eukaryota; Metazoa; Chordata; Mammalia; Rodentia; Muridae. The record is from RNAcentral.